GGAACUUCCUUCCUGCCCCCUCCAACUUCUGCCUCCCUCACUGGCAUCAACCCAGCGCCUCCAUUGCUGACCUCGACCAACCUCCACCUGUGGUCCUUCCUUUACUGCAGCAAUGACACUGUUUUCUUCCUUUGUUCUUCCAACCCCAGGGCACAGAAACUCUCUCCACUGCAGCCGAGGAUUGCAGGAGAAGUGGCAUCAGUGAUUCAAGACUGUUUUUCCUACCUCUUCGGUGUUUCUUUCAGUGAUAUGAAGUUCAGGUACCAUAAGUGCUCGCCUGAUUUUGCUUUUUACAAAGGUGCUUUUUUGGUGUGGAUUGUUGUUACAUUGCUGUCCUUGCAACGGGGGACAAUUGUUACAGCCUUCUAUUCUGCCAUCUUGUUGCACCCCUUUUAUUUUGUCCUUUUCAUACAUAGAAGAGAACUUCCUGUCAAGUCAGACAACCCAAAACCCCAUCCAUUGACUAUUUUCAGCUCAAAGUCUUGAGUUCCUUGGUUCAUGCAUAACCCUUUCUUUUAGGUCUGAAUGUGACCUGAUGUUUUCAUGGCUUAGAAACAGGCAGCUAUAUGUGUCACAUGCACAUGGCCACUAUACAACAAUGAAGCCCGGCCAGGAUAGCCUCAGUAAAAGCUCCCAUUCUGAAAAGGGAAGAAUAAGAGAGACACAGCAUCCACUGGUUAAUAGCAGUUGUAAAAUACAGUGGACACACAUAGGGAAAGCCUCCUCCAAUGUGGGGUACAGAAAAUUUCUGGAUUAGAUCCUGGCUCUGCCCUUUGACUUCUAGAAUGUUUUACUGUAAUCAUUUUAUUUCCAUGGCUACAUCUGAAAUGGCCAUGGGGAAUAUGUCUUUUUUUCCCCCUGAGGCUUCCCAGGUCUCAACCUGAUUUGAGUUAAUAAAGCUUGUAGUUGCCAUCCCAGCCCAUUUCCUGACUUUUUUUUCCUUAUUUUAUGGGAAGAAGAGAGAGAGAGAGACUUUUAUUAGUUUUAUGCUACUGCUAUUUAAAGCUUUUCAGUUAUACACAGGUAAACCUAAUGCAAACAAAAUUAAAUGUUUUCUGUUUGAGUCCAUUUUUGUCUCGUAUUAUUACAAAGUCCAACUUUUGAUACUGUUUUGUUGUACUAUAUUUUCCUCAUAUACCUUGUUUCAUUUUUAAACAUUUUAAUGUCAGUUUUUUAACUAAUAAGUUUAGACAUUCACAUUUAUUGGAAUAACUGUUGCAUUUGGAUUUUGCAUCAUAUCUACUGUAUUCUAUUCAUCCCCAAAGGUCCUGGUCCAUUCCUCUACAGUGACAAAAGAUAUUUCUCCCUCUCCUACUGUAGACACCCAUUAUCUCUUCUCCUCAUGAAUAGAUUCCCUUUUCUUUGCCUCACACCCUUCUGGCCUACCUUUUAUUCCAUCUAUUCCUGCUGUAACCAGCUGCACACAGUAGUAAUUUGAUAACAUCUCACCUCAUCUCCACUGCAUAGCAAGUCUUCCCUGCCUUGGUGCUUUCAUAAAACCAGGCAUGAGUUUAUAUGCACAGCUUGGGAAGGACAAGAGGCUUCUAAGUUCAGAGGCAACACCUAGCCCAUGGGAGAUACAAGUGCAGUUAUAAAAUACCCCCACUUCUGUGCAUCAAGAGAAAAUGAUGCAUACAUUCUAUAUGGCUCUUCAGGGUCAGUGGAAAUGAACUCUAGGUGCCCACAGCAAGAAAACAUCUUAUAUCAACUUUUUCUCCUUUCCUAUUUCAUUCUCCUAAGUCCUCUGCUCCUGUUACAUGGAAUCACUUAAAGAAAAAAAAAAAAAUACUGACUCAUAAGCCCUUGUUUUAAGUGCUGCUAAGACAAUAUUCUUCAUGUGAAAUAACCUUCCCAUCU
Long non-coding RNA from Papio anubis (olive baboon), 1857 nucleotides. NCBI's taxonomy places the organism in Eukaryota, Metazoa, Chordata, Mammalia, Primates, Cercopithecidae. The record is from Ensembl.